Molecule: microRNA precursor, 52 nt
Filed under: Ailuropoda melanoleuca (giant panda)
Lineage: Eukaryota; Metazoa; Chordata; Mammalia; Carnivora; Ursidae
Description: mir-1302 microRNA precursor family
Rfam family: mir-1302 microRNA precursor family
Source: Rfam by way of RNAcentral
UUUUUAAUGUAAGUAUGCCCCAUGCAAAAUUUAGGACAUACUUAUACUAAAA